GACCAGACUCCUACGGGAGGCAGCAGUGGGGAAUAUUGCACAAUGGGGGAAACCCUGAUGCAGCGACGCCGCGUGAGCGAAGAAGUAUUUCGGUAUGUAAAGCUCUAUCAGCAGGGAAGAAAAUGACGGUACCUGACUAAGAAGCUCCGGCUAAAUACGUACCUGCAGCCGCGGUAAUACGUAUGGAGCAAGCGUUAUCCGGAUUUACUGGGUGUAAAGGGAGCGUAGGCGGCCAGACAAGUCUGAUGUGAAAGGCUGGGGCUCAACCCCAGGACUGCAUUGGAAACUGUGAGGCUAGAGUGUCGGAGAGGCAGGCGGAAUUCCUAGUGUAGCGGUGAAAUGCGUAGAUAUUAGGAGGAACACCAGUGGCGAAGGCGGCCUGCUGGACGAUGACUGACGCUGAGGCUCGAAAGCGUGGGGAGCAAACAGGAUUAGAUACCCCGGUAA
RNAcentral lists this ribosomal RNA (447 nucleotides) under uncultured bacterium. RNAcentral describes it as "bacterial SSU rRNA". It matches the Rfam family "Bacterial small subunit ribosomal RNA", at positions 329 to 793 of the family's 1533-position model. The record is from RNAcentral.